GGUCCUUGUGCAUGAUAAUGCGUGCAUUCAACCAGGUGCACCACCAGCCAGCCCACUCUAAGCAUGAUUUACUCUGCUCCACGUCCAGCCCCUCCCUAAUUGAGGUGCAAUCUACUCUCUUCCAAAUCACUGCAAUAAUGAAUCUACAGCCUAGGUUCAGUUCUUUAUUUCCCCAUUGAAGCCUUUCCUCACCUGUGUGACAUCUUCAAUAAACAUGAACUCUGGGCAAUUUCACUGAGCAACCUUAACUGAGAGACAAUUCCAUGAAUGAGCAAUUUGCUUUAAAAAAAGAAAAAAGAAAAAAGAAAAACCUAGCAAAAUCCACCUUGCAGAAGGGCCAACUCCAUUGGGCCUUGAUCCAUUUGGUCUGUGGUUCUCCAAGGCUGUGUCUGGAAGACACAGACAAAAGCUUCCAUCUGAAGCCAGUCCACAGCACUGCAGGAGAAACUUUCCAUUUCCUCACAUCAGAGGAUGCUGACCCGGCGCCAGAGAAGGGCCGGGAGUCUGAAAUGCAAAAACACAGAAUUAACAUUCAGCUCGGACAGAUUGUCAAAAUGAAGGUUAAAGAGCUGUUGCAAAAUGGAGACUUGAGAAAACCCUCAGUAAUUCAGUGAAAUGGUCGUUUGGCAAAAUGACGAUCUGGCAGUCUGCUCUGCCUCAAACGGAUUUUUUGGAAAUGGGCUUUUGGCGAACUAGCUUCCAGGGAACUAGCUGCUAGCGAAUUCAGCGAAUCAAUCCUUUGGAAAAUUGACUUUAGGCAAAGUAGCUUUCUGCUCUGGUGAGCUGGUCCUCUUGCAGUGGUAAUGGGUCUCAGCUUGUGGCUGUGGUACUGCCCACCACCAUAAGCCCAGCCUGGGGAAGGCAAUGUGUUUUGCUUUUAAUUUUACCAUUAUUUCUGGUUUAUUAAAGUUAGAAUAUUUCAGAGACAUGA
Long non-coding RNA from Erinaceus europaeus (western European hedgehog), 931 nucleotides. RefSeq lists it as uncharacterized. The record is from RefSeq and is a predicted model, not a curated record. Lineage: Eukaryota; Metazoa; Chordata; Mammalia; Eulipotyphla; Erinaceidae. The transcript has 2 exons.